RNAcentral lists this ribosomal RNA (253 nucleotides) under uncultured bacterium. RNAcentral's name for it is "partial 16S ribosomal RNA". It matches the Rfam family "Bacterial small subunit ribosomal RNA", at positions 524 to 776 of the family's 1533-position model. The record is from RNAcentral.
UACGGGGGGGGUAAGCGUUGUUCGGAAUUACUGGGCGUAAAGGGCUCGUAGGCGGCCAACUAAGUCAUACGUGAAAUCCCUCAGCUUAACUGGGGAACUGCGUGUGAUACUGGAUGGCUUGGAUUUGGGAGAGGGAUGCGGAAUUCCAGGUGUAGCGGUGAAAUGCGCAGAUAUCAGGAGGAACACCGGUGGCGAAGGCGGGACUCUGGGCCGAUACUGACGCUGAGGAGCGAAAGCGUGGGGAGCGAACAGG